CCGUCCCGCGAACCCUAAGUGCUGUGAAUUGCGAUGCCCCCUCCCUCUGUCUCCUUUAUCGUAGCAGGCCCCGAUUGAUAGUGAUUGAACUUGUUGGGGACCCAAAUUUUACUGAUUCUGUGGAGGCGUCAAAUUCAAUGCCUACUUGCACUACACCCAAUGUUAAUUAAAGACUAAAGAGGAGAAGAACUGGGAGCACCAAACUAUGUUGUCCCAUUUUUGUCACCAAAUUCCACUGGGAAAGCUAUAUUAUAUAGUGUAAAUUACACAUCAGGAGGAGGAGUCAUAAAUGCAACUGGAAGAAUAUUUGUCAGCCCUUAGAAGUU
This is a long non-coding RNA of Juglans regia (Persian walnut), 326 nucleotides long. RefSeq lists it as uncharacterized. The transcript is spliced from 3 exons. Lineage: Eukaryota; Viridiplantae; Streptophyta; Magnoliopsida; Fagales; Juglandaceae. The record is from RefSeq and is a predicted model, not a curated record.